This 196-nucleotide ribosomal RNA is filed under the name uncultured Bacillus sp. RNAcentral's name for it is "partial 16S ribosomal RNA". It matches the Rfam family "Bacterial small subunit ribosomal RNA", at positions 338 to 524 of the family's 1533-position model. Lineage: Bacteria; Bacillati; Bacillota; Bacilli; Caryophanales; Bacillaceae. The record is from RNAcentral.
CCUACGGGAGGCAGCAGUAGGGAAUCUUCCGCAAUGGACGAAAGUCGAACGGAGCCCGCCGCGUGAGUGAUGAAGGCUUUCGGGUCGAAAAACUCUGUUGGUAGGGAAAACAAGUGCAAUUAGUUGAAUAAGCUGGCACCUUGACGGUACCUAACCAGAAAGCCACGGCUAACUACGUGCCAGCAGCCGCGGUAAU